This 497-nucleotide ribosomal RNA is filed under the name uncultured bacterium. RNAcentral's name for it is "partial 16S ribosomal RNA". It matches the Rfam family "Bacterial small subunit ribosomal RNA", at positions 28 to 507 of the family's 1533-position model. The record is from RNAcentral.
GAUGAACGCUGGCGGCGUGCCUAAUACAUGCAAGUCGAGCGAACAGAUGAGGAGCUUGCUCCUCUGACGUUAGCGGCGGACGGGUGAGUAACACGUGGAUAACCUACCUAUAAGACUGGGAUAACUUCGGGAAACCGGAGCUAAUACCGGAUAAUAUAUUGAACCGCAUGGUUCAAUAGUGAAAGACGGUUUUGCUGUCACUUAUAGAUGGAUCCGCGCGGCAUUAGCUAGUUGGUAAGGUAACGGCUUACCAAGGCAACGAUGCGUAGCCGACCGGAGAGGGUGAUCGGCCACACGGGAACGGAGCCACGGUCCAGACUCCUACGGGAGGCAGCAGUAGGGAAUCUUCCGCAAUGGGCGAAAGCUUGACGGAGCAACGCCGCGUGAGUGAUGAAGGUGUUCGGAUCGUAAAACUCUGUUAUUAGGGAAGAACAAAUGUGUAAGUAACUAUGCACGUCUUGACGGUACCUAAUAAGAAAGCCACGGCUAACUACGUG